Long non-coding RNA from Bombus huntii, 712 nucleotides. RefSeq lists it as uncharacterized. The transcript has 4 exons. NCBI's taxonomy places the organism in Eukaryota, Metazoa, Arthropoda, Insecta, Hymenoptera, Apidae. The record is from RefSeq and is a predicted model, not a curated record.
UGAUCUACAGAAAAAUAAAAGAAACGAUACACAUAUAUGAUAUCUUGUUGGUUUCUCUUCGCGAGUAUGAGACUUACAUCGAUUUAAGAAUAUCGAACACAAGAUGAAACUCAUGUCUCGGUUUGUCCAAGAGUUACAUUACAUUUUUGACCAUGAGGAUGUCUCGAAUGGAGCACUUUCGAAAAUGGUAAUUUUUCACGACACACUCGAAGAUUACACGAGAUAUAAUUGCCGUCGAGAGAUGAUCUACGAGCUAAAAGAAACUAGACGGAAGUAGCAAUAUUAAUGUGGUAUUUAACUGAAUCCACUUUGAAUUGUUCAUCUGAUGAUUUUCCAUGAGUGAAGCUCUCCUAAUGAACAUGACUUGCAACCGGUAGAACUUACAAGAACGCGACGACGGCUGGCAUGGUCAUGCAGGCGCCGACAAUGAAGAACGUCCCUGGAAACGUUUUCAUGGUUGCAGCGUAAAUGGAACUGUACAUAGGCCCAUAGAUGAGAGGCAUCAGAGAUUCGCAGACACCAAGCAACGAAUUCACCUUGCCUGCAAAUCAACGAAAAUUCAGAUACAGUAUUCCGGACAAUGCCAUUCCGAUCGGUACACCAAGCGACAAGAAAACAUUUGCAGCACCAAUUCGAAGCGUCCUGGACUCUACCGACGUGAUAUCCGCGAUAUAACUGAAAACACCCAUGAACAUGGUGAACCAGCCUCCCG